This 372-nucleotide ribosomal RNA is filed under the name Gemmatimonadota bacterium. Its description in RNAcentral is "Gemmatimonadetes bacterium (beach sand metagenome) partial 23S ribosomal RNA". It matches the Rfam family "Bacterial large subunit ribosomal RNA", at positions 2555 to 2925 of the family's 2925-position model. The record is from RNAcentral. Lineage: Bacteria; Pseudomonadati; Gemmatimonadota.
GUAGUCGGUCCCAAGGGUUUGGCUGUUCGCCAAUUAAAGCGGUACGCGAGCUGGGUUUAGAACGUCGUGAGACAGUUCGGUCCCUAUCCGUCGUGGGCGCAGGACAUUUGAGGAGAUCUGACCUCAGUACGAGAGGACCAGGUUGGACGAACCACUAGUGCACCUGUUGUCGCGCCAGCGGCAUCGCAGGGUAGCUAUGUUCGGACUGGAUAACCGCUGAAAGCAUCUAAGCGGGAAGCCAACUCCAAGAUUAGAUGUCCCGUUCGUAAGAACCUAAAGGCCCCUUGAAGACUACAAGGUUGAUAGGCCAGAGGUGUAAGCAUGGCAACAUGUUCAGCCGACUGGUACUAAUAGGCCGUGAGGCUUGAUUCU